UGCAGUCGAACGGUGAUAGCAAUAUCAUAGUGGCGCACGGGUGCGUAACACGUAUGCAACCUACCAUAUACUGAGGGAUAGCCUUUCGAAAGGGAGAUUAAUACCCCAUAACACAUUGAACUGGCAUCAGUUUAUUGUUAAAGAUUUAUUGGUAUAAGAUGGGCAUGCGUCCAAUUAGUUAGUUGGCGAGGUAACGGCUCACCAAGACGAUGAUUGGUAGGGGAACUGAGAGGUUAAUCCCCCACACUGGCACUGAGAUACGGGCCAGACUCCUACGGGAGGCAGCAGUAGGGAAUAUUGGGCAAUGGAGGCAACUCUGACCCAGCCAUGCCGCGUGCAGGAAGAAGGCGUUAUGCGUUGUAAACUGCUUUUAUAUAGGAAGAAAUAGACCUUGCGAGGUAAGUUGACGGUACUAUAUGAAUAAGCACCGGCUAACUCCGUGCCAGCAGCCGCGGUAAUACGGAGGGUGCAAGCGUUGUCCGGAUUUAUUGGGUUUAAAGGGUGCGUAGGCGGUUUAUUAAGUCAGUGGUGAAAGACGGUCGCUCAACGAUUGCAGUGCCAUUGAUACUGGUAGACUUGAGUGGGAUUGAGGUAGCUGGAAUGGAUAGUGUAGCGGUGAAAUGCAUAGAUAUUAUCCAGAACACCAAUUGCGUA
RNAcentral lists this ribosomal RNA (654 nucleotides) under uncultured bacterium. RNAcentral's name for it is "bacterial SSU rRNA". It matches the Rfam family "Bacterial small subunit ribosomal RNA", at positions 56 to 719 of the family's 1533-position model. The record is from RNAcentral.